AGAGUUUGAUCCUGGCUCAGAUUGAACGCUGGCGGCAUGCUUUACACAUGCAAGUCGAACGGCAGCGCGGGGCAACCUGGCGGCGAGUGGCGAACGGGUGAGUAAUAUAUCGGAACGUACCCAAGAGUGGGGGAUAACGUAGCGAAAGUUACGCUAAUACCGCAUACGAUCUAAGGAUGAAAGUGGGGGAUCGCAAGACCUCAUGCUCCUGGAGCGGCCGAUAUCUGAUUAGCUAGUUGGUGAGGUAAAGGCUCACCAAGGCGACGAUCAGUAGCUGGUCUGAGAGGACGACCAGCCACACUGGGACUGAGACACGGCCCAGACUCCUACGGGAGGCAGCAGUGGGGAAUUUUGGACAAUGGGCGCAAGCCUGAUCCAGCAAUGCCGCGUGAGUGAAGAAGGCCUUCGGGUUGUAAAGCUCUUUUGUCAGGGAAGAAACGGUUGGGGCUAAUAUCCCCGGCUAAUGACGGUACCUGAAGAAUAAGCACCGGCUAACUACGUGCCAGCAGCCGCGGUAAUACGUAGGGUGCAAGCGUUAAUCGGAAUUACUGGGCGUAAAGCGUGCGCAGGCGGUUGUGCAAGACCGAUGUGAAAUCCCCGGGCUUAACCUGGGAAUGGCAUUGGUGACUGCACGGCUAGAGUGUGUCAGAGGGGGGUAGAAUUCCACGUGUAGCAGUGAAAUGCGUAGAGAUGUGGAGGAAUACCGAUGGCGAAGGCAGCCCCCUGGGAUAACACUGACGCUCAUGCACGAAAGCGUGGGGAGCAAACAGGAUUAGAUACCCUGGUAGUCCACGCCCUAAACGAUGUCAACUAGUUGUCGGGUCUUAAUUGACUUGGUAACGCAGCUAACGCGUGAAGUUGACCGCCUGGGGAGUACGGUCGCAAGAUUAAAACUCAAAGGAAUUGACGGGGACCCGCACAAGCGGUGGAUGAUGUGGAUUAAUUCGAUGCAACGCGAAAAACCUUACCUACCCUUGACAUGGCAGGAAUCCUUGAGAGAUCAGGGAGUGCUCGAAAGAGAACCUGCACACAGGUGCUGCAUGGCUGUCGUCAGCUCGUGUCGUGAGAUGUUGGGUUAAGUCCCGCAACGAGCGCAACCCUUGUCAUUAGUUGCUACGAAAGGGCACUCUAAUGAGACUGCCGGUGACAAACCGGAGGAAGGUGGGGAUGACGUCAAGUCCUCAUGGCCCUUAUGGGUAGGGCUUCACACGUCAUACAAUGGUACAUACAGAGGGCCGCCAACCCGCGAGGGGGAGCUAAUCCCAGAAAGUGUAUCGUAGUCCGGAUUGCAGUCUGCAACUCGACUACGUGAAGUUGGAAUCGCUAGUAAUCGCGGAUCAGCAUGUCGCGGUGAAUACGUUCCCGGGUCUUGUACACACCGCCCGUCACACCAUGGGAGCGGGUUUUACCAGAAGUAGGUAGCUUAACCGUAAGGGGGGCGCUUACCACGGUAGGAUUCGUGACUGGGGUGAAGUCGUAACAAGGUAACC
RNAcentral lists this ribosomal RNA (1490 nucleotides) under uncultured bacterium. Its description in RNAcentral is "partial 16S ribosomal RNA". It matches the Rfam family "Bacterial small subunit ribosomal RNA". The record is from RNAcentral.